This is a non-coding RNA of Camelina sativa (false flax), 3360 nucleotides long. Lineage: Eukaryota; Viridiplantae; Streptophyta; Magnoliopsida; Brassicales; Brassicaceae. The record is from RefSeq and is a predicted model, not a curated record.
CUCUUCUUUCUAUUUUCCUUUUUUGUUCUUAGGUGUGGUGUGGUACUGUUCUUCAAUCACCCUGAUUUUGUUUUCAAACCAAAUCUCACUCGUUCCUUCCUACCUGUGAUAAUCCUCUCUCUAGGGUUUGGUGGUUUCUCUCCCUCAAAUCUCAAUUGCAUUGACUCGAUUUUUUUAAUAAAAUAUUCUUGGCUCUGUUGUAUAAUAGAUUGUGGUGGACUACGUUUUGUUGAUUUUAGAUUUGUGGACGAUCCUAUGUUUGAUCGAUUGCACAGUGGGGUUUUGCUCUGUUGUUGAAUCUUUCUCUUCAUCAUCUGUUUUGACCAUCGAGAUUAAUGUGUGUGAGGGUUUCAGGAGAAGGAACAAAACAUUGUGAAAGUGAAUGGUUUGCAUAUGAAGCUAGAACCAUACAAGGAGAUUGUGUCUGCUGCUUUGUUUGGCAUUAUAACUCAGGAUGCAAGAGGGGCAGUAAUCUUGCUCAGCAAUUCAGAUAGGCUUCAGAUGUAGAGCUCUACCGACCUGGACCGUCUGAAGAAACUCAAAACUCCAGGACGUGAAUUUAUUGCAGCCAAGCUUGUGUGGCAAAUUUGACAUAGCAGGUGAGUUACAAGUCUGUGAUGGUGGACAACAUGAUUGACACAGCAGGUCUCUGUCUCUGAUUUUGCAAACCAAUUCUUUUUUAAGAUUGCUUAUGGACCGACGUGGUUAUAUAUUGGGAAGAGUACACUCUUAAAUCAUUACAACAUGAUGACAAAGUAACACGGACAUGCGACAGAUUGUGGAGGAUGCUUUGCUCGGAGGUUAAUGGUUCUGACGAUGGAUCGUUGUCUUCUCUGCGCUACAUCUUCAGACCAUCGAGAUAAAUGUGUGUGAGGGUUUGAAGAGAAGAAAAAACAUUGUGGAAGUGAAUGGUUUGCGUAUGAAGCUAGAACCAUAUAAGGAGAUUGCGUCUGCUGCUCAGGAUGCAAGCAAGGUUAUUGGUGGGAAGAGAGUUAUGACUGGAUUGCUUUAGGAAACCUCAUUGCUUGAUCCAUGUGAGGGGUAUACACUUUGUGGGGCUUGUCACGUGUUUGAUGUUAAUCGAUUGGUGUUUUGAUUAUUGUAAUCGAUCACUGUUGAUAAGGUACUUGGUGGAAUGGGAGGGAUGAUUGGAUUACGCUAGGAAACCUUAUUGCUUGUUCUUGCUGUCUACACACAUUCAGAUGAGAGAUCGAUGAUCCACAGAUUCUUUCCUACACGAAUCGUGGAGGCGAAUCUAUAUCUCUCUUUGAUGCAGAUCGUGGAGGCACGGAGGGGGACUGAUAUGAUAAAUUUCGUACCUUUAUGUGUGUGUUUUGAGUGCAUAACCACAGGCUUACAUCAUUGUCCGUGGUUAUGGUGGCUGGAAUUCUAGGUUUGCCUCCCAAAGUUUAUCUUGAACGUGAAGGAUGCCUUUUAUCUGUCGUCGUCUUCGGUCCCUGUUACCUCUUUGAAGAUCAUGAGGAACUAAGAUUACUGUGUGGGAGGUUCGAAGAGAAAGAAAAAACAUUGUGGGAUUGCGAUUGAUAUCUGAGUUCAGAGUGACAGAGAGAGAUGUUAUAAUGAGGUGACGGAAGAGCAAACAUUCAAACCUGAACAAGUCACUCGCAGAGAAGAGAGAUUAUUACAGUCAGAUAGCAACAGCUCGACUAAUCUGGGCAUUGCCUUUGGUUGGCUUUCUGAACGGUUUGAUCAAAUAUAUGUGUAAAAAUGUAACAAGUGAGACCGCUACAUCUGAUGAUUUGGUGAUUGCCAUUGGUGCUACUAACAAGCCACCGGAGUUGGAUGAUUCAGUGCUUAGAAGAUCGGUUUUGGAUGAUGCUUUUAUUUAUCAAUACUGAUGGCUUUGACUGAUCGUCCUCAGGCGUUCUCAUGGGUUCCUUGCUCUAAACGUUUUGGAUGAUGAUUUUAUCAAUCAGUGAUGGCUUUGCCUUUGACUGAUCUUCUUCAGGCGUUCUCAUGGGUUCCAAUUGGAAUGGAGUAUAUAGUAACUCACAACUAUAAGCUUGCGGACCAGAUCAUAUGAAAGAGUUUGUUCCUCCUCACUUUACAGUGUGCUUACCCCUGAAAUUUACAAAUGCUAUAUUAAUGAAAAAGCUACAUUGUAAAAUGGGGAGAAGGUAUGGUUAAGCUGUUCGGUGGUUUGAGAAGCUAUGAGAGAGCACUUACACGAUCUACUAUAAGCUUAUGCACUUAUUCAGGCUUGGCUUACACUUACCAUUUGCAAGGGGAAUUUCUCAGCUGGCCAUCUCAUACUAUCACAAGGUAUACACACUACAGUAUAUGAGAGAACUAUAAUUGUUUAUUGGUUUUCUUCUCUGUCAGAUGGUUCUAAUGGAUGAUGAUUGUCAAAAAGGGGCUGAUGCAAAGGUUGAGCUCUGCUAGAAAUUGGUCGGCCAGUGUUGUCUCCACCAUGUGUGGUUUUGGUCUCUGAUAUUAGGAGGUCCCUUGAGUAGUCCCCCGAACAGCUCUCCUGCAUCAUAGUAAAUCUCUGUUCUGAGAGAUUCAUCAAUUAACCUGUAGAGAACAUCUAGAAGUAAGUGAAUCCUGAUGCUAGCAGUGCACAGCCUCUGCCAAUUCCGAUAAAAAUCCAUUAGAUAAAAGACAUGAGUUGAGAAGAAAAAAGUGAGUAGUGUCUAAAAAGGCAAACAUGGAUGGAUACUACUUAACCUGAGAGACAAAAAUCUUGAGAAGUUCACAGCUGAGCCUUCAAAGCAUUUGCUUUGGCUACAAGAAAAACCAAUAACCAUAUAACCAUGUCUCAUCAUCUCCCAAUUUACAUGAGAAAGAAGUAUGAAACCAGAAGCAAGUCAGGUCUUCUUGGUUGUUCCCGGAGCAACUUGCACUAAAUGCAAUGCCUAAUUUAGCAUCACAAAAUGAAAUCUGCUGCACAAUAAUAUCGAAGAUCGUAGCAGUCUUUGUCACAGGAUCAACCUCAGACAGCAGCAGUAUCUAGAGUUAAGAAAUUACGACAAUGGGUUGGGUUCUAAUAUUGUGACAUGAAAUAGGUUCCGUUGGAGUAACGACAUCGCUCCCCUCUCCCUUUGUGUGUAUCGCAAUCAAUCGAGCAGAGAGAGAGAGAUCAAACAGAAAGGAUCAACAAAAGCGAGAAUUAAGCCAAAACCGAAAUUGAAAUCGGUUUUAAAUUUUCGGUUCGGAUUUAAACCGGGAUUGGGCAUAUGUAUUAUCGUCAGAUUUAGUUGUUUGAUGCUUAUAUGAUUCUAAUCAUCCAGAGCAGUGGAAGAGUAAUGUUCUUAAGAAAUUGGCUGCAAGCAGAAUGUACAAUAUAUGUUUUUUAAAACAGAUUUAUAACGACAUUAAUCAAAUGUUGAAGUGGGUUAA